RNAcentral lists this ribosomal RNA (253 nucleotides) under uncultured bacterium. RNAcentral describes it as "partial 16S ribosomal RNA". It matches the Rfam family "Bacterial small subunit ribosomal RNA", at positions 524 to 776 of the family's 1533-position model. The record is from RNAcentral.
UACGUAGGGUGCAAGCGUUGUCCGGAAUUAUUGGGCGUAAAGAGCUCGUAGGCGGUUUGUUGCGUCGGCUGUGAAAUCCCGAGGCUCAACCUCGGGUCUGCAGUCGAUACGAGCAAACUAGAGUGUUGCAGGGGAGACUGGAAUUCCUGGUGUAGCGGUGAAAUGCGCAGAUAUCAGGAGGAACACCGGUGGCGAAGGCGGGUCUCUGGGCAACAACUGACACUCAGGGACGAAAGCUAGGGGAGCGAAUGGG